AUUGAACGCUGGCGGCAGGCUUAACACAUGCAAGUCGAGCGGGGGAAGGUAGCUUGCUACUGGACCUAGCGGCGGACGGGUGAGUAAUGCUUAGGAAUCUGCCUAUUAGUGGGGGACAACAUCUCGAAAGGGAUGCUAAUACCGCAUACGUCCUACGGGAGAAAGCAGGGGAUCUUCGGACCUUGCGCUAAUAGAUGAGCCUAAGUCGGAUUAGCUAGUUGGUGGGGUAAAGGCCUACCAAGGCGACGAUCUGUAGCGGGUCUGAGAGGAUGAUCCGCCACACUGGGACUGAGACACGGCCCAGACUCCUACGGGAGGCAGCAGUGGGGAAUAUUGGACAAUGGGGGGAACCCUGAUCCAGCCAUGCCGCGUGUGUGAAGAAGGCCUUAUGGCUGUAAAGCACUUUAAGCGAGGAGGAGGCUACUUUAGUUAAUACCUAGAGAUAGUGGACGUUACUCGCAGAAUAAGCACCGGCUAAUUCUGUGCCAGCAGCCGCCGUAA
RNAcentral lists this ribosomal RNA (501 nucleotides) under uncultured bacterium. Its description in RNAcentral is "partial 16S ribosomal RNA". It matches the Rfam family "Bacterial small subunit ribosomal RNA", at positions 30 to 523 of the family's 1533-position model. The record is from RNAcentral.